AAUCAUCAUCUGUGUGCCCCUAAUUCAUGUUGUUUUUGGCAUUUUGCCUAUGAGAAUUGUGAUUACUAAAAGGCGCUAAUUUUUUCCCUUAUUCUUUUGUUUAAACAUCAAAGAAUGAUUUCCUAAACGUCUUUUCUGGUUCUUUCUUGUGAAUUUAAAGUAUAGAUGACUAGCUCCAGAAUAUUAGCUCCUUUUUGGAAAGAGUUAAUCAUCUAGUUGAUGGAUACGGGUUAAAUUUCUCUUUGUUGUGCAGUAUUUUGAACUGUUGAUGUCAGGUAUGUGUUGGGUUUCUUUCGUCAUUUUGGUUGGGUUAGUACAUUGUAUCUGUUUUAUAGGUAUGUGUUGGGUUUCUUUCGUCAUUUUGGUUGGGUUAGUAUUUUGAACUGUUGAUGUCAGGUAUGUGUUGGGUUUCUUUCGUCAUUUUGGUUGGGUUAGUACAUUGUAUCUGUUUUAUAGGUGUGGAGGUGCAAUACUAAAUAUUGUUCUAAUGAGUUUCGAUUUUGUUCUUUUUAUGAGAAAUUCGAACUGUGGGUCUGAUGAGGUUUAUCCUUCUUAUUGUGUCCUUUGCAAUUAGAAUUAGACAACAAGUUUCCAGCAGUAGCAUAAAUCAGUUGCCAGGAAAGAUUGGAUUGCUACAGGGGAAAACUGAAAAGAAGGGGGAAAUUAAAAAGAUUGAAGGGGAAAACUGAAAUUUUACAGAUUUUGAUGAAGUUUUUAGCAGUCACCAGCAGAUUCGGCACAAACUGAAGCUACAGGGGGAAAAAAUCAAGUUAGCAGUCAACAACAGAAGCUAACUGGAAAAGAUUCAAGAGGGAGACUUACCUGAUUUUGAGAAAAAAAUCAAUAAUUCCUUUUACUUAGCAGUCAGCAACUUAACAGUCAACAGCAG
Long non-coding RNA from Asparagus officinalis (garden asparagus), 889 nucleotides. RefSeq lists it as uncharacterized. The record is from RefSeq and is a predicted model, not a curated record. NCBI's taxonomy places the organism in Eukaryota, Viridiplantae, Streptophyta, Magnoliopsida, Asparagales, Asparagaceae. The transcript has 3 exons.